UGGGGAAUAUUGCACAAUGGGCGCAAGCCUGAUGCAGCCAUGCCGCGUGUAUGAAGAAGGCCUUCGGGUUGUAAAGUACUUUCAGUCGGGAGGAAGGUGGUAAGGUUAAUAACCUUAUCAAUUGACGUUACCGACAGAAGAAGGACCGGCUAACUCCGUGCCAGCAGCCGCGGUAAUACGGAGGGUGCAAGCGUUAAUCGGAAUUACUGGGCGUAAAGCGCACGCAGGCGGUUGAUUGAGUCAGAUGUGAAAUCCCCGGGCUUAACACGGGAAUUGCAUCUGAUACUGGUCAGCUAGAGUCUUGUAGAGGGGGGUAGAAUUCCAUGUGUAGCGGUGAAAUUCGUAGAGAUGUAGAGGAAUACCGGUGGCGAAGGCGGCCCCCUGGACAAAGACUGACGCUCAGGUGCGAAAGCGUGGGGAGCAAACAGG
RNAcentral lists this ribosomal RNA (429 nucleotides) under Chloroflexota bacterium. RNAcentral's name for it is "Chloroflexi bacterium partial 16S ribosomal RNA". It matches the Rfam family "Bacterial small subunit ribosomal RNA", at positions 355 to 776 of the family's 1533-position model. Lineage: Bacteria; Bacillati; Chloroflexota. The record is from RNAcentral.